AUUGAACGCUGGCGGCAUGCCUUACACAUGCAAGUCGAACGGCAGCACGGGUGCUUGCACCUGGUGGCGAGUGGCGAACGGGUGAGUAAUACAUCGGAACAUGUCCUGUAGUGGGGGAUAGCCCGGCGAAAGCCGGAUUACUACCGCAUACGAUCCACGGAUGAAAGCGGGGGACCUUCGGGCCUCGCGCUAUAGGGUUGGCCGAUGGCUGAUUAGCUAGUUGGUGGGGUAAAGGCCUACCAAGGCGACGAUCAGUAGCUGGUCUGAGAGGACGACCAGCCACACUGGGACUGAGACACGGCCCAGACUCCUACGGGAGGCAGCAGUGGGGAAUUUUGGACAAUGGGCGAAAGCCUGAUCCAGCAAUGCCGCGUGUGUGAAGAAGGCCUUCGGGUUGUAAAGCACUUUUGUCCGGAAAGAAAUCCUUGACUCUAAUACAGUCGGGGGAUGACGGUACCGGAAGAAUAAGCACCGGCUAACUACGUG
RNAcentral lists this ribosomal RNA (486 nucleotides) under uncultured bacterium. Its description in RNAcentral is "partial 16S ribosomal RNA". It matches the Rfam family "Bacterial small subunit ribosomal RNA", at positions 30 to 507 of the family's 1533-position model. The record is from RNAcentral.